UACGUAGGGGCUAGCGUUAUCCGGAAUUACUGGGCGUAAAGGGUGCGUAGGUGGUUUCUUAAGUCAGAGGUUAAAGGCUACGGCUCAACCGUAGUAAGCCUUUGAAACUGGGAAACUUGAGUGCAGGAGAGGAGAGUGGAAUUCCUAGUGUAGCGGUGAAAUGCGUAGAUAUUAGGAGGAACACCAGUUGCGAAGGCGGCUCUCUGGACUGUAACUGACACUGAGGCACGAAAGCGUGGGGAGCAAACAGGAUUAGAUACCCGGGUAGUCCCUGAGCGGGCU
RNAcentral lists this ribosomal RNA (282 nucleotides) under uncultured prokaryote. Its description in RNAcentral is "partial 16S ribosomal RNA". It matches the Rfam family "Bacterial small subunit ribosomal RNA", at positions 524 to 817 of the family's 1533-position model. The record is from RNAcentral.